RNAcentral lists this ribosomal RNA (491 nucleotides) under uncultured bacterium. RNAcentral describes it as "partial 16S ribosomal RNA". It matches the Rfam family "Bacterial small subunit ribosomal RNA", at positions 28 to 507 of the family's 1533-position model. The record is from RNAcentral.
GAUGAACGCUAGCUACAGGCUUAACACAUGCAAGUCGAGGGGAAACGCCAUCGAAAGCUUGCUUUUGAUGGGCGUCGACCGGCGCACGGGUGAGUAACGCGUAUCCAACCUGCCCACCACUUGGGGAUACCUUGCGAAAGUUAGUAUAAUACCCAAAGAGUACACACGAAGGCAUCCGUAUGGGGAUACAGAUUUAUCGGUGAUGGAUGGGGAUGCGUCUGAUUAGCUUGUUGGUGGGGUGACGGCCCACCAAGGCAACGAUCAGUAGGGGUACUGAGAGGAAGGUCCCCCACAUUGGAACUGAGACACGGUCCAAACGCCUACGGGAGGCAGCAGUGAGGAAGAUUGGUCAAUGGGCGAGAGCCUGAACCAGCCAAGUAGCGUGCAGGAGGACGGCCCUAUGGGUUGUAAACUGCUUUUAUAAGGGAAGAAAGUGGGUCACGUGUGACUUUUUGCAGGUACCUUAUGAAUAAGGACCGGCUAAUUCCGUG